This 402-nucleotide ribosomal RNA is filed under the name uncultured bacterium. RNAcentral describes it as "bacterial SSU rRNA". It matches the Rfam family "Bacterial small subunit ribosomal RNA", at positions 917 to 1322 of the family's 1533-position model. The record is from RNAcentral.
GGGCCCGCACAAGCGGUGGAGCAUGUGGUUUAAUUCGAUGAUACGCGAGGAACCUUACCAGGGCUUAAAUGGAAAAUGACAGGGGCAGAGACGCCCCCUUCUUCGGACAUUUUUCAAGGUGCUGCAUGGUUGUCGUCAGCUCGUGCCGUGAGGUGUCAGGUUAAGUCCUAUAACGAGCGCAACCCCUACCGUUAGUUGCCAGCGAGUAAUGUCGGGGACUCUAACGGAACUGCCGGUGCAAACCGUGAGGAAGGUGGGGACGACGUCAAAUCAUCACGGCCCUUACGUCCUGGGCCACACACGUGCUACAAUGGUAGGUACAGAGAGCAGCCACUACGCGAGUAGGAGCGAAUCUACAAAACCGGUCUCAGUUCGGAUCGCAGUCUGCAACUCGACUGCGUG